UGCGGGGUGGAGCAGUCUGGUAGCUCGUCGGGCUCAUAACCCGAAGGUCAUCGGUUCAAAUCCGGUCCCCGCUACCA
RNAcentral lists this transfer RNA (77 nucleotides) under Halomonas halmophila. Its description in RNAcentral is "tRNA-Met". It matches the Rfam family "tRNA". From Rfam's summary of the family: Transfer RNA (tRNA) molecules are approximately 80 nucleotides in length. Their secondary structure includes four short double-helical elements and three loops (D, anti-codon, and T loops). The record is from RNAcentral. Lineage: Bacteria; Pseudomonadati; Pseudomonadota; Gammaproteobacteria; Oceanospirillales; Halomonadaceae. RNAcentral also lists the same sequence under 400 other names.